Molecule: ribosomal RNA, 375 nt
Filed under: uncultured bacterium
Lineage: Bacteria
Description: bacterial SSU rRNA
Rfam family: Bacterial small subunit ribosomal RNA
Source: RNAcentral
AACGAACGCUGGCGGCAGGCCUAACACAUGCAAGUCGGGCGGGGGUAGCAAUACCCUAGCGGCGAACGGGUGAGGAAUGCUUGGGAAUCUGCCUGGUAGUGGGGAUAACGUUCCGAAAGGAACGCUAAUACCGCAUACGUCCUACGGGAGAAAGGGGGGAUCUUCGGACCUCUCGCUAUCAGAUGAGCCCAAGCGGGAUUAGCUAGUUGGUGAGGUAAAGGCUCACCAAGGCGACGAUCCCUAGCUGGUCUGAGAGGAUGAUCAGCCACACUGGAACUGAGACACGGUCCAGACUCCUACGGGAGGCAGCAGUGGGGAAUAUUGGACAAUGGGCGAAAGCCUGAUCCAGCCAUGCCGCGUGUGUGAAGAAGGCCU